GUGCACCGCGGGUACAGACUAACUAAAAAGUCACAAUUGUCCAAACGGAACACCGUACACUUCAGUUUAUCGCUGUAAAGAAAAAUUAUCUACAGUGAAACUGUAUGAUUAUUCUGACAGUAAAGGUUUAUAUUCCUUAUAACUAGACCUAUUUCUUUACACACCUGUUUUCAACUUGGCUCAUUAACAUUCAAUUUGGGAAAGAUUGAAAUAUUUAAAAGAUUGGACAAUGACUUCCAUGGAAGAAUUCAAUGAGGAGGCCUUGGCUGAAUUUGAGAACAGACGUCUUCGAAACCAGAAUACAAUGCCAGAGAGAACACAAUUCAUAGAGGGUAAGUGUAUAUAUAGCAAUUAUUAUUUCAACCAGCUUUAUUUUUUACUUUUCUGUGAUUAUGAUUGAUUUCAAUAUAAUUUUGUUCAUUUUUCAUUUAUAUUAGCUGAAAUUUUAUAAAUCAUUUAAUCACCGUGGGUAAGCAACUUUGGUCACGUGACCACAAAAGUCAACGUACACGCCAAAAAUACCUCGGCUGAGGUAAGUUUUCUAUUGAUUAUUUUUCUGUCUAGCCGAUUUAAAUUAUGCUACAUAGCCUACCGACCGCGGCAGUUCCGAUGCUUUCUAAAAUGUAUUUAGUUUCGUCUAACGUUUUGUAUUUUUUGAGAACAUUCAAACAAUAUUUGCAAAUUGUCGAUGACAACGUACACACUAUUGUGUGUAGCCGGCCGGAUAGCUCAGUUGGUCUUCUGACAGUCAUGGGUUCGAAUCAUGGUCAGGCAGUUUCAGGCAGGGCUUAAAAGUGGUUUUUCAACUGACACAUGUUUGAUUCAUUUAACAGAUUGUAUUAAAUUUGAAAUGGACAAAGGCAGUAUUGUAUGAUACUUUUAGAUCUACAAAAGGCAUUUGAUACAGUUGAUCACACUCUGUCCAGGCAUUUGCUGUUUAUCAUACUCUAUACAUCAGUGCAGAUAUCCUAUUCGCUACAAAUAGUUUUUUUUCAAGUUGGUCAUUCAAUUUGAGCAAAUUCGACGAUAUAAUGUUCAAAUAUACGAUAUAGUUUAAAAUAGUAUGUAGCUGUAAACUUUUUGCAAUUUUUCUUUUCUUACAUGAAUGUCUAAAUUUACAAAGUGGUCAUAAAGACGUCAUUGUGAUUUUAUCUUUUAAAUUGAAGGACAUGAACUGUCUGUUUUUGUGCAUUUAUACCCCACUUAGAGAGCCAAUGUUAUUUAAUACACUACGGUCUAUUGACAUGAAUGAUAUCUAUAGAAAUCAAUCUUUGUUCAAUUUGCAUGCCUGAAAAACAUAUUAUCAUAUUAUACGACGGAUCGUGAGAUUGAAAGCGUGAACGAAGGCUCAUAUCAUUGUAUUGUUUUUUCGUAUUUCCUUAUCACAUUACCAAUGACCUUAUAAUUGUAAUAUAAAUUCUUAUAAUCAAAUAUGUCAAAGAAUAUUUAAAUUUUUCUUAUGGGCAAUACUGAGUAUCUCCUACAUUCUGACCCAGAACAAAAGUAUGCCAGAAUCAAACUGAGCGCGUCAAAAUAUCUUGAUUAAAACGGAAUGAUAGAGUAUAAUAUUAUCAAGUAUUUUUGUUGGCUUUAUCUGUUGACCACAUACAAUUAAGGUUUUAGGCAAGAAAUGAAAUAUUAUUUCUAUAUUCAUGGCUGGACGCCGAUUCCAAGCAUUUUUGGAA
Long non-coding RNA from Ruditapes philippinarum (Manila clam), 1685 nucleotides. RefSeq lists it as uncharacterized. The transcript is spliced from 3 exons. Lineage: Eukaryota; Metazoa; Mollusca; Bivalvia; Venerida; Veneridae. The record is from RefSeq and is a predicted model, not a curated record.